GAUGAACGCUAGCUACAGGCUUAACACAUGCAAGUCGAGGGGAAACGACAUUGAAGCUUGCUUCGAUGGUCGUCGACCGGCGCACGGGUGAGUAACGCGUAUCCAACCUGCCUCUGACCAAGGGAUAACCCGUCGAAAGUCGGCCUAAUACCUUAUGCAGUCGUCGGAAGUCAUCUGAUGACGACGAAAGAUUUCAUCGGUGAGAGAUGGGGAUGCGUCUGAUUAGCUUGUUGGCGGGGUAACGGCCCACCAAGGCAACGAUCAGUAGGGGUUCUGAGAGGAAGGUCCCCCACAUUGGAACUGAGACACGGUCCAAACUCCUACGGGAGGCAGCAGUGAGGAAUAUUGGUCAAUGGGCGAGAGCCUGAGCCAGCCAAGUAGCGUGCAGGAUGACGGCCCUAUGGGUUGUAAACUGCUUUUAUGCGGGGAUAAAGUGAGGGACGUGUCCUUCAUUGCAGGUACCGCAUGAAUAAGGACCGGCUAAUUCCGUG
This 491-nucleotide ribosomal RNA is filed under the name uncultured bacterium. RNAcentral describes it as "partial 16S ribosomal RNA". It matches the Rfam family "Bacterial small subunit ribosomal RNA", at positions 28 to 507 of the family's 1533-position model. The record is from RNAcentral.